Manihot esculenta (cassava) is the source of this 318-nucleotide long non-coding RNA. RefSeq lists it as uncharacterized. The record is from RefSeq and is a predicted model, not a curated record. NCBI's taxonomy places the organism in Eukaryota, Viridiplantae, Streptophyta, Magnoliopsida, Malpighiales, Euphorbiaceae. The transcript has 2 exons.
AGGAUGAUUAAGGGCAUCUAAAUAUGCUGUGGGUUGCAAUUAUAAUCAAGGACUACUCUUUCAACCACUGUCUGCAAGCAACUGAAGACAGAUACCUGAAAUGGGGUCAUGAUCAAAUUUAUUCGCCCUGAAGAUCUCAUGCUGAUCCAUAAUCUCAGGCAACAUAAACAAAUUCAUGUGUGUUUUUCAUUGUACCAUUCAGUGUUUUUGUUCAUGAAUGUGCUUGUUUGCAUAAUAUCUACCACAUUUCAUUGUACCAUUCAGGCAACAUACACAUUUUAAUUCAUUUUUAUAUAUAAUAUAAUAAAUUUGAUUUUC